GAUGAAGAACGUAGCGAACUGCGAUAAGUAAUGUGAAUUGCAGAAUUCAGUGAAUCAUCGAGUCUUUGAACGCACAUUGCGCCCCCUGGCAUUCCGGGGGGCAUGCCUGUCCGAGCGUCAUUGCUGCCCUUCAAGCCCGGCUUGUGUGUUGGGUCGUCGUCCCCCCCGGGGGACGGGCCCGAAAGGCAGCGGCGGCACCGCGUCCGGUCCUCGAGCGUAUGGGGCUUUGUCACCCGCUCGAUUAGGGCCGGCCGGGCGCCAGCCGGCGUCUCCAACCUUCUAUUUUACCAGGUUGACCUCGGAUCAGGUAGGGAUACCCGCUGAACUUAAGCAUAUCAAUAGGCGGAGGA
Molecule: unclassified non-coding RNA, 350 nt
Filed under: soil metagenome
Description: partial contains 5.8S ribosomal RNA, internal transcribed spacer 2, and large subunit ribosomal RNA
Rfam family: 5.8S ribosomal RNA (bases 1-120)
Source: RNAcentral